UACGGAGGAUGCGAGCGUUAUCCGGAUUUAUUGGGUUUAAAGGGUGCGUAGGCGGCCGAGUAAGUCAGCGGUGAAAUUUUGCAGCUUAACUGUAACAGUGCCGUUGAUACUGCAUGGCUAGGAUUUGGUUGCUGUGGGUGGAAUGUGUGGUGUAGCGGUGAAAUGCUUAGAUAUCACACAGAAUAUCAAUUGCGAAGGCAGCUCACAAAGCCAAGAUUGACGCUGAGGCACGUAAGUGUGGGGAGUCAAA
This 250-nucleotide ribosomal RNA is filed under the name uncultured prokaryote. RNAcentral's name for it is "partial 16S ribosomal RNA". It matches the Rfam family "Bacterial small subunit ribosomal RNA", at positions 524 to 773 of the family's 1533-position model. The record is from RNAcentral.